This 22-nucleotide ribosomal RNA is filed under the name Stangeria eriopus. Its description in RNAcentral is "partial 18S rRNA". The record is from RNAcentral. Lineage: Eukaryota; Viridiplantae; Streptophyta; Cycadopsida; Cycadales; Zamiaceae.
UGAACCUACAGUAGGAUCAUUG